Molecule: ribosomal RNA, 1038 nt
Filed under: Escherichia coli
Lineage: Bacteria; Pseudomonadati; Pseudomonadota; Gammaproteobacteria; Enterobacterales; Enterobacteriaceae
Description: partial 23S ribosomal RNA
Rfam family: Bacterial large subunit ribosomal RNA
Source: RNAcentral
GGCGGGACACGUGGUAUCCUGUCUGAAUAUGGGGGGACCAUCCUCCAAGGCUAAAUACUCCUGACUGACCGAUAGUGAACCAGUACCGUGAGGGAAAGGCGAAAAGAACCCCGGCGAGGGGAGUGAAAAAGAACCUGAAACCGUGUACGUACAAGCAGUGGGAGCACGCUUAGGCGUGUGACUGCGUACCUUUUGUAUAAUGGGUCAGCGACUUAUAUUCUGUAGCAAGGUUAACCGAAUAGGGGAGCCGAAGGGAAACCGAGUCUUAACUGGGCGUUAAGUUGCAGGGUAUAGACCCGAAACCCGGUGAUCUAGCCAUGGGCAGGUUGAAGGUUGGGUAACACUAACUGGAGGACCGAACCGACUAAUGUUGAAAAAUUAGCGGAUGACUUGUGGCUGGGGGUGAAAGGCCAAUCAAACCGGGAGAUAGCUGGUUCUCCCCGAAAGCUAUUUAGGUAGCGCCUCGUGAAUUCAUCUCCGGGGGUAGAGCACUGUUUCGGCAAGGGGGUCAUCCCGACUUACCAACCCGAUGCAAACUGCGAAUACCGGAGAAUGUUAUCACGGGAGACACACGGCGGGUGCUAACGUCCGUCGUGAAGAGGGAAACAACCCAGACCGCCAGCUAAGGUCCCAAAGUCAUGGUUAAGUGGGAAACGAUGUGGGAAGGCCCAGACAGCCAGGAUGUUGGCUUAGAAGCAGCCAUCAUUUAAAGAAAGCGUAAUAGCUCACUGGUCGAGUCGGCCUGCGCGGAAGAUGUAACGGGGCUAAACCAUGCACCGAAGCUGCGGCAGCGACGCUUAUGCGUUGUUGGGUAGGGGAGCGUUCUGUAAGCCUGUGAAGGUGUGCUGUGAGGCAUGCUGGAGGUAUCAGAAGUGCGAAUGCUGACAUAAGUAACGAUAAAGCGGGUGAAAAGCCCGCUCGCCGGAAGACCAAGGGUUCCUGUCCAACGUUAAUCGGGGCAGGGUGAGUCGACCCCUAAGGCGAGGCCGAAAGGCGUAGUCGAUGGGAAACAGGUUAAUAUUCCUGUACUUGGUGUUA